Molecule: ribosomal RNA, 336 nt
Filed under: uncultured Anoxybacillus sp.
Lineage: Bacteria; Bacillati; Bacillota; Bacilli; Caryophanales; Anoxybacillaceae
Description: bacterial SSU rRNA
Rfam family: Bacterial small subunit ribosomal RNA
Source: RNAcentral
CAUGGUUGUCGUCAGCUCGUGUCGUGAGAUGUGGUUAAGUCCCGCAACGAGCGCAACCCUCGACCUUAGUUGCCAGCAUUCAGUUGGGCACUCUAAGGUGACUGCCGGCUAAAAGUCGGAGGAAGGUGGGGGAUGACGUCAAAUCAUCAUGCCCCUUAUGACCUGGGCUACACACGUGCUACAAUGGGCGGUACAAAGGGUCGCGAACCCGCGAGGGGGAGCCAAUCCCAAAAAGCCGCUCUCAGUUCGGAUUGCAGGCUGCAACUCGCCUGCAUGAAGCCGGAAUCGCUAGUAAUCGCGGAUCAGCAUGCCGCGGUGAAUACGUUCCCGGGCCUU